RNAcentral lists this ribosomal RNA (582 nucleotides) under uncultured Actinomycetes bacterium. Its description in RNAcentral is "bacterial SSU rRNA". It matches the Rfam family "Bacterial small subunit ribosomal RNA", at positions 35 to 627 of the family's 1533-position model. The record is from RNAcentral. Lineage: Bacteria; Bacillati; Actinomycetota; Actinomycetes.
GCUGGCGGCGUGCUUAAUACAUGCAAGUCGAACGAGGUCCAUCCGAUCUUCGGAUUGGUGAAGACCUAGUGGCGAACGGGUGCGUAACACGUGAGAAACCUGCCCCGGUCUCUGGAAUAACAGUUGGAAACGACUGCUAAUACCGGAUGCCGUCGGACCAUCGCAUGGUGGACCGACGAAAGGGUUACCGGACUGGGAGGGUCUCGCGGCCUAUCAGCUUGUUGGUGAGGUAACGGCUCACCAAGGCAUCGACGGGUAGCUGGUCUGAGAGGAUGAUCAGCCACACUGGGACUGAGACACGGCCCAGACUCCUACGGGAGGCAGCAGUAGGGAAUAUUGCACAAUGGGCGAAAGCCUGAUGCAGCAACGCCGCGUGCGGGAAGAAGGCCCUAGGGUUGUAAACCGCUUUCAGCAGGGAAGAAAAUGACGGUACCUGCAGAAGAAGGUGCGGCCAACUACGUGCCAGCAGCCGCGGUGACACGUAGGCACCAAGCGUUGUCCGGAUUUAUUGGGCGUAAAGAGCUCGUAGGCGGUUCAGUUAGUCGGGUGUGAAAACUCUGGGCUCAACCCAGAGAGGCCACU